CUAGACAGGAGGGCCUCG
This 18-nucleotide transfer RNA is filed under the name Gambelia wislizenii (Longnose leopard lizard). Its description in RNAcentral is "partial tRNA-Asx". The record is from RNAcentral. Lineage: Eukaryota; Metazoa; Chordata; Lepidosauria; Squamata; Crotaphytidae.